Molecule: ribosomal RNA, 201 nt
Filed under: uncultured bacterium
Lineage: Bacteria
Description: partial 16S ribosomal RNA
Rfam family: Bacterial small subunit ribosomal RNA
Source: RNAcentral
ACGCUCGACACCUACGGGAGGCAGCAGUGGGGAAUAUUGGGCAAUGGAGGCAACUCUGACCCAGCAACGCCGCGUGAAUGAUGAAGGUCUUCGGAUUGUAAAGUUCUGUGACGGGGGACGAACACAAUGACGGUACCCCGAUAGCAAGCCACGGCUAACUACGUGCCAACAGCCGCGGUAAUCUGAGCGGGCUGGCAAGGC